GGUGAUGAUGGCAGAGAGGUCACACCCGUUCCCAUACCGAACACGGAAGUUAAGCUCUCUAGCGCCGAUGGUAGUUGGGACCUUGUCCCUGUGAGAGUAGGACGUCGCCAAGC
RNAcentral lists this ribosomal RNA (113 nucleotides) under Bacillus anthracis (anthrax bacterium). The record is from RNAcentral. Lineage: Bacteria; Bacillati; Bacillota; Bacilli; Caryophanales; Bacillaceae. RNAcentral also lists the same sequence under 14 other names.